This 501-nucleotide ribosomal RNA is filed under the name uncultured bacterium. RNAcentral describes it as "bacterial SSU rRNA". It matches the Rfam family "Bacterial small subunit ribosomal RNA", at positions 10 to 518 of the family's 1533-position model. The record is from RNAcentral.
AGUUUGAUUCUGGCUCAGGACGAACGCUGGCGGCGUGCUAACACAUGCAAGUCGAGCGGGGACACUGAAAGUUUCGGACGGAAGGUGUCUAGCGGCGGACGGGUGAGUAACGCGUGAGCAAUCUGUCCCAGACAGGGGGAUAACAGAUGGAAACAUCUGCUAAUACCGCAUAAGACCACGAGGUCACAUGGCCUUGAGGUAAAAGGAGAAAUCCGGUUUGGGGUGAGCUCGCGUCCGAUUAGCUAGUUGGAGGGGUAACGGCCCACCAAGGCGACGAUCGGUAGCCGACCUGAGAGGGUGAUCGGCCACACUGGAACUGAGAGACGGUCCAGACUCCUACGGGAGGCAGCAGUGGGGAAUAUUGGGCAAAUGGGGGAAACCCUGACCCAGCAACGCCGCGUGAGGGAAGAAGGUUUUCGGAUUGUAAACCUCUGUCCUUGGUGAAGAAAAAAUGACGGUAGCCAAGGAGGAAGCCCCGGCUAACUACGUGCCAGCAGCAGC